AUAAUGACGGUACUUGAGGAGGAAGCCCCGGCUAACUACGUGCCAGCAGCCGCGGUAAUACGUAGGGGGCUAGCGGUAUCCGGAUUUACUGGGCGUAAAGGGUGCGUAGGCGGUCUUUCAAGUCAGGCGUGAAAGGCUACGGCUCAACCGUAGUAAGCUCUUGAAACUGGGAGACUUGAGUGCAGGAGAGGAGAGUGGAAUUC
Molecule: ribosomal RNA, 203 nt
Filed under: Clostridioides difficile
Lineage: Bacteria; Bacillati; Bacillota; Clostridia; Peptostreptococcales; Peptostreptococcaceae
Description: partial 16S ribosomal RNA
Rfam family: Bacterial small subunit ribosomal RNA
Source: RNAcentral